CAACUUUCAGCAAUGGAUCUCUUGGUUCUCGCAUCGAUGAAGAACGCAGUGAAAUGCGAUAACUGGUGUGAAUUGCAUCCAUGUAACUCUAAUUUACGAAUAACACCAAGUGAAUCAUCGAGUCUUUGAACGCAAUUGCGCCCUCUCGGUCGCUUCCA
RNAcentral lists this ribosomal RNA (158 nucleotides) under uncultured Cantharellus. RNAcentral's name for it is "5.8S ribosomal RNA". It matches the Rfam family "5.8S ribosomal RNA", at positions 1 to 130 of the family's 154-position model. From Rfam's summary of the family: 5.8S ribosomal RNA (5.8S rRNA) is a component of the large subunit of the eukaryotic ribosome. It is transcribed by RNA polymerase I as part of the 45S precursor that also contains 18S and 28S rRNA. The record is from RNAcentral. Lineage: Eukaryota; Fungi; Basidiomycota; Agaricomycetes; Cantharellales; Hydnaceae.